UACAGAGGUCCCAAGCGUUGUUCGGAUUCACUGGGCGUAAAGGGUGCGUAGGCGGUCGGGUAAGCCUGGCGUGAAAUCUCCAAGCCUAACUUGGAAACUGCGUUGGAUACUAUCCGGCUCGAGGAAUGGAGGGGAGACUGGAAUACUUGGUGUAGCAGUGAAAUGCGUAGAUAUCAGGAGGAACACCCAUGGCGAAGGCAGCAAACUGGUCAUCAACUGACGCUGAGGCGCGAAAGCGUGGGUAGCAAACAGG
This 253-nucleotide ribosomal RNA is filed under the name uncultured bacterium. Its description in RNAcentral is "partial 16S ribosomal RNA". It matches the Rfam family "Bacterial small subunit ribosomal RNA", at positions 524 to 776 of the family's 1533-position model. The record is from RNAcentral.